Pelobates cultripes (western spadefoot toad) is the source of this 218-nucleotide non-coding RNA. The record is from the annotation of a GenBank genome assembly. NCBI's taxonomy places the organism in Eukaryota, Metazoa, Chordata, Amphibia, Anura, Pelobatidae.
GGCAAUUAUGUAAAGCAAGGGAGCCAAAGGGCAUCCCUGCCUUGUUCCAUUUCUAAUUUGAAAAAAAACAAACCAGUAGUAAAACCCGAGCCUGAAAUGUUUGCGGAUGGAUUUGAAUAAAUAGUCAUUACACUAUCCCUUAAUGAUUGCCCAAAAUUGGAAAUUCUCAGAGUCUUCUCCAGGAACACCCAGUUGACCCUGUCAAAGGCCUUUUCGGC